UCGAUCCGGCCAGCGAUAACACUUUACUUUAUAUUAUGAAAGACCGAUAAUUGCUUUCCUAGGAAUUGGUUUCCCAGCAAAACAAACAAGGCACUAGCUGCUGCUGAAUUAGGUCUUGGGUUCUAUAACUUCUGUAUCAACUCGGGGACUUUCAGUUGCGAGUUGGGAAAGUUACCCCAACUCAUUCCGACAACUUGAGAGGAAUUAUUAUGGAGGUGGAGUAUCUUCCUUUGUCAUCAAUGGACAAAUCCAGGCAAGUCAUGGAAGAGUUUGUUGAUAUAUGGCAAGAAGCCAUCUCAAAAAGAUCAUUACCAGGCCAUUUCAUGCAUAUGGAACCAAACUUCGUGGGGUACGGUCUCUCAGAUCACUAUGCUACUGUCAUGGCUCAACUAAUUGCGACUCAGUCAGUACAAGCCGCGAGAAACUAGGGAACAUUAAAACAUCACUGCAUCCUUCAUCCAGGUUUCUAUCAGGUGUUGUUAGAUCCUAUUGUCAUGGCUUCUGUUAGUAUUUGUUUUUGUACCAUGGAAGUUUUGGCUCGUUCUGAAAUAAUUAGAUGUUAAGGUUCUAAAAGAAGGAUGCAGCUGAACGCUGUGGUGAAAACAUUGUUUUCUGAAGCACAUAUUCCUUCGGAGUUCUGCAUCUGGAUCUGCAAUUUGCUAAGUUGGUUGUGAUGACAGAUGAGAGGCUUUAACUAGAACAUGGUUUCAUGCAAAGUAAGCCCUUAGAUUGCUGUGCGCUGAAAAUAGGUGGCCCAAAUUGGCACAAAUCCUAUUGUUUCCUUUUAGUUAUUUAUCCAUCAAAUUGCGCUAAUUCAUUUUA
This is a long non-coding RNA of Populus trichocarpa (black cottonwood), 822 nucleotides long. RefSeq lists it as uncharacterized. The record is from RefSeq and is a predicted model, not a curated record. The transcript has 2 exons. Lineage: Eukaryota; Viridiplantae; Streptophyta; Magnoliopsida; Malpighiales; Salicaceae.